GACACUUCCCGGGAUGGCUGAUAACCGCCGGUGCUUGACUUGUGAGCUGAGUGAGGCCUCAGGAACCGGGGGCCGUGGAAAGACUUGCAUCUCCGUGUGCCCCCGCGAGGGGCUCUACGUACAAACCUGUCCUCCAGAGGCCUCUGGGCGUUGCCUGGGGCCGCCCCUCUCUCUCUGGGAGCAGGACCUCGCCCCAGGGUGGAUCAAGAUCCCCGCCGCCGGGCUAGAGUUCUGCUCGACAGACUCCAGGAUACGCGCUGCCCGGGACCAACCAGGACCUCAUGCUUGCGAGCCUUGCCUCACCACCUUCCCAGCCAGCUCCCAGUGCUUGUGUUAGUAUGACAGGGAAUUGAGUCCCCCUGCUCAGCUCUGGUGGUUGACAGUGCCGGGGCUCGAACCUGGGAGCUGGGGCCCGGUCUUGCAGGACCUGUGCUCCGCCGCUGAGCUGUCUCCCCAGCCCUUCCCUCAGGCAUCUCGCUGCACCUGCCUGAUUGUUUCCUGGGAACCCCUGCCGGAGAGGAGACUCACUGUCAGCAGGUUCCAUUGGUAACCCAAACUUCAGCUUGAAAGAGAAGAGACAGCCAGAAAUCAAGAGAAAAAGACCUGCAGCACUGCUUCACUAUUCUCCAAGCUUCCCUUCUUCAGUUGAGCAGCAGUAGCUCGAACCCAGGUCCUUGUGAAGUGGAACAUGUGGACUCAACCAGGUGGGGGACUUGAAUCUUGCACACUGUAACAUGUACAUUCAACCAAGUUCGUCACCACCUGACCUGGCUUCUUCUGUCUUUGCUUCUGUGAGCAGAGGCAGAAAGAAGGGAGAGACACUAAAAAUGGGUCCACCACUGUCAAUGGAUAUUCUCUUCCAUGUAGUGCUGGGGCCUGAACUCAGGAUCUCUUUCAUGCCAUCAAGUUGCAGAUGCUACCAUGAUGCCAACCUGACUUCCCUGGGCAGACGACCUCACCAAUGUGUCCUCGAGCCUCUCCUCCCCAGAGCCCUGCCCCACCAGAGAAAGAGAAACAGGCUGGGGG
This is a long non-coding RNA of Erinaceus europaeus (western European hedgehog), 1026 nucleotides long. RefSeq lists it as uncharacterized. Lineage: Eukaryota; Metazoa; Chordata; Mammalia; Eulipotyphla; Erinaceidae. The transcript has 5 exons. The record is from RefSeq and is a predicted model, not a curated record.